UUGAACAUGACUCCUAUUUAUUUAUUUAAUCAAAUUAUUAUUUUUAAAAAAAAAAGAUAGAAAAUAUUAUCAGAAAAGAAAGAAAAUGGAUCCUUUUCGUAUACUCUAGUAGCAGUGACAUCAACCACUAUGCAUUGUGGGAAGACCUAAUCGGAAAUUUUAUAUGAAUUAUCACUCUUCUAAAUGAAGCAAAGAUUUUGACAUCUCAACCAUUUCUGAUUUCUUGAUAUUAUCUCCUCCAUAUUUUCCCCACUUGCUUCUGCCUCUUCUCUAUUUCUAUUAAAUCUAAAUCUACCUGCCUUAAUUUUCUUGGAUCUUCUCAUCCAUCUCCAUUUUGGAUAUGUUCAUUCCAAGCUUCAUUGCAAAUCAUCAAUGUUCAUGCACUGGUAAGUUCAUACAGAAAGAGAGAUGUUGGAAUGGCUCAAUCAAAUCAAAUCUCUCAAGGGUUCUUGGGUCCUUUAAUCUGAUUGAGCCGUGCCAAUAUCCCUCUUAUUUAUUCAACAAUUUUUUUAUUCUUUCCCAACAAUCAGCUUUCCUGUUAAUUAUAACUAUGGAUUAUUUUUUAGGGUUUAGCAAUUUUAUAUAAGGGUUCACUGUGACAUAAAUUUUGUAAUAUUUCAGAUUUUAAUUACUAGAAUUGGCAUUCAGUUAAGGUUUUUUAUCUGCUAGUUAAUGCAAUACUCCUUACCUUUGGUUUGGGAAAGAGUGCAGAUUGUUAAAUAAAACAAGUGCAUAUUGAUGUAGAAGAAGCGGAUUGCGUAGUUCAUUGAUAGAGGUAAUGAUGACUCGAUAGAGUUGGAUGAUUUGUUUCUCUAAAUGGAAUUUGACUUAGCAAUCUGUCGAUGCAUAAUAUUUUGCCCAGUGGAACGGCAAGGGGAAAUUAGUUCUGAGUAUGUUCCGAAUAUGAGACUAUUCAGUUUUAGAGACGACUAAAAUGACAAUGUAAAAAAAAGAAAACAUUGGUUUGAAUAUCUUUUCCGUUGAGUUUUGCUAACCUCUGUAGGUAACCCUUACAAUGCAUGCAUGCGAGUAUUUGCAUGAGAAAUAAAGAGUUAUAAGAAAACCAUGCUGGCAAUUAAUUUUGGAGAGUUGCAGGAAUCUUCAUGUAGGCUGAAAUUAUAUGAUCAUUACUUGUAUAUAUCCUUUGUACAUUUAUAUAUAAUAAUGUUAUUUUAAUAAAUUUCUGAAUAAUAGAUCUCAUUAGAUAAAAUUUUAAGUGUUUUAUAAUUUAUUUUUUGUAUAUUAAAUUAUUAUUAUUUUAAAGUUUAGAUCCGGAUCUGGUAUGUGAAUUGCAGCAUUAGAGGCGGAGGAAGAAGAAGAAGAAGUGAAAGGCUUGUAAAGAAGCUACAUGAUGUAAAAUAGAAAAAGAGUAAUCAAGUUUAUAUUAAUUAAUGGUAAUAUCAAAUCCGAACAAAAUGAAAAAUUCGGAAGUCUCACGAACAGUAGAGCGCCAAGAGUAGAGAUGAGUAGAGAUGAGAGAUGGUAGAACAAAACAUCAAAUAUGCAGCCUUGAAGACUUCCUACUCAAACAUAUAUAUGACGACCUAACCUCCCACAAAAGAAGUAUAAAUGCAAUACACUAUAUAUACCAUCUCUUACUUGUAAAUAUUUUUUGCAGGAACAAAACUCAUUGAGAUCCCUUCUUUUUCUCCAUAUCCAGGUGGAGUAUGUACAUUUGGGUUUGCUUUGCUUUUAUUUUGUUAUCUUUUAAGCUCAUGAACCAGGCCUUUCACCCCCACUAUUGCUUGUGCUCGGGAGGUGCUAUUCUCAUUUUCGACAUGCUUAUUUCUACACUACACCCAGUUUACUAAAAGGCUUUUUGCAAAUUUAGAGGCUGAAGAAGUUUUAUUUGUGGAUUUGGGGUUCGAAAAAUAUUAAUUGCCAAUUUGGGGCGUGGCAGGCGAAAGAGCGCCUAGCGCCUUUUUGAAAGGCGCCAGAUGAAGUCUUGGCGCCUAUCAAAGAGGCGUCAAGCGUGGCCUGAUGCUUCGCAGACAGGCUGACGCUUCUUAAAGAGGCGUCAGCCUCACCCUGGCCUCUCGGGAAGCCUGGCAUCUCGAAAAAACACAUCGCCCUAGCGCCUCUAAAAGAGGCGCCAACCCACCUUCACCCUAUAAAUGCCCCACCUAUGCUCGUUUUCAUCUAUGCUUUUACUUAUUUCUUUCUUGUUGAAUUUUUUUUAACUUCUUUAUCCUCUUCCUCUUUCUGUUUUAAUUGAUUUAUGACUUAUAUUUAUAUUGUUCCAAAAAAUUUACGAGGUAAAUUUGCUAAAAAUAGAGUGAAAACAAUGUGGAGAGAAAUAUAUAAAUUAAGAAUAGAUUCUCGGAGCAAUUUUUUUUAACAUAUUUUAUAGCUUAAUUAUUAUUUGCAAGAAAUAAUUUGUUCUAGUUAUAACAUGCGGAAUAUAGAAAUGGUUGAUGUUUUGAUUGAAACUGUUCCGUUGUGUUAUUUUAAGAUUUUAAGUUUUAUUUACUCAAAAAGAAUUCUGUAAAAGAGAGAAUAGAAUAUUAAGAGGUACGUAUUUAGUUAAACUUAAUAUUUAAUUUUGAUGUAUAUUUUAAUCAAUAUACUUACUGACUUAUUAAUUUCAGGAGGAGGUGAACGUACCAGUUAUCAAACGAAUAUGUAUGAUUAUUUGGAACAAAGAAGGGAAAGAACAUUUAAAUCCGCAAAACGUUAAAGCGAAUGGCGCAAAUUCAGAAAAUGUAAAAAUAAAUAGAUAUAUUAAAAUCUAUGUAAUUAGUUAGUAUUUUAAAUUUGUAAUAUCGUUUUUUUUAUAAAUGUCUAUUUUGUUGUG
This is a long non-coding RNA of Manihot esculenta (cassava), 2794 nucleotides long. RefSeq lists it as uncharacterized. The transcript is spliced from 2 exons. Lineage: Eukaryota; Viridiplantae; Streptophyta; Magnoliopsida; Malpighiales; Euphorbiaceae. The record is from RefSeq and is a predicted model, not a curated record.